RNAcentral lists this ribosomal RNA (468 nucleotides) under uncultured bacterium. Its description in RNAcentral is "bacterial SSU rRNA". It matches the Rfam family "Bacterial small subunit ribosomal RNA", at positions 33 to 501 of the family's 1533-position model. The record is from RNAcentral.
ACGCUGGCGGCGUGCUUAACACAUGCAAGUCGAACGAGAGUUAGAUCAAAUGAGUUUUCGGACGAGUGAGAUUUAACGAAAGUGGCGAACGGGUGAGUAACACGUGAGCAACCUGCCUUACACAGGGGGAUAGCCAUUGGAAACGGUGAUUAAUACCCCAUAAGACCACAAUACCGCAUGGUAAAAGGGUAAAAGGGAUACCGGUGUAAGAUGGGCUCGCGUCUGAUUAGCUAGUUGGUGGGGUAAAGGCCUACCAAGGCGACGAUCAGUAGCCGGUCUGAGAGGAUGAACGGCCACAUUGGAACUGAGACACGGUCCAAACUCCUACGGGAGGCAGCAGUGGGGAAUAUUGCACAAUGGGGGAAACCCUGAUGCAGCGACGCCGCGUGAGCGAAGAAGGCUUUCGAGUCGUAAAGCUCUGUCCUAUGAGAAGAUAAUGACGGUAUCAUAGGAGGAAGCCCGGCUAAA